Non-coding RNA from Oncorhynchus mykiss (rainbow trout), 209 nucleotides. The record is from RefSeq and is a predicted model, not a curated record. NCBI's taxonomy places the organism in Eukaryota, Metazoa, Chordata, Actinopteri, Salmoniformes, Salmonidae.
UGCUCUCUCCAUCUCUCUGAUUCUACUGGUCCUGUUCUGCAAGAGGAACAAAGAUGUAGCAGCUGAACCCAGAGAUGUUACGUAUGCUGACGUUAGAAUCAUACAGGAACCACAACCCAGGAGAAGGAGAGAGAAGUCUCCAGGAGCUGAUCCAGUCUACUCUGCAGUGAAGACCUCCAACACCACAGUUCCAGGUGGAUCCGGUCCAG